AGAGUUUGAUCAUGGCUCAGGACUAUCGCUGGCGGCGUGCCUAACACAUGCAAGUCUGAGGAGAAUGGGAUUCGCAAGAUUCCCUAGUAAACUGGCGAAAGGGUGAGUAACACGUAGGCAACCUACCCUUCAGUGAGGAAUAACACUGGGAAACCGGUGCUAAUGCCACAUGAUAUCCCGAGUUCGCAUGGACACGGGAUCAAAGAGAGCUUCGGCAACGGAGCAUCGCUGAUGGAUGGGCCUGCGUCCUAUUAGCUUGUUGGUGGGGUAACGGCCUACCAAGGCUACGAUGGGUAGCUGGUCUGAGAGGAUGACCAGCCACACUGGCACUGAGACACGGGCCAGACUCCUACGGGAGGCAGCAGUGAGGAAUAUUGGGCAAUGGGCGAAAGCCUGACCCAGCAACGCCGCGUGAGUGAUGAAGUACCGAGGUACGCAAAGCUCUGUUAGGAGGGACGAAUGUCCGGCUUGCCGGAAGUGACGGUACCUCCAGAGAAAGCUCCGGCUAACUCCGUGCCAGCAGCCGCGGUAAUACGGGGGGAGCAAGCGUUGUCCGGAUUUAUUGGGCGUAAAGAGCGUGUAGGCGGGCCGAUAAGUCGGUGGUGAAAUCUCUCGGCUUAACCGAGAAAUCGCCUUCGAUACUGUCGGUCUUGAGUAUGGAAGAGGGAAGUAGAAUUCUCUGGUGUAGCGGUGACAUGCGUAGAUAUCAGGAGGAAUACCAGUAGCGUAAGCGGCUUCCUGGUCCGUUACUGACGCUAAAACGCGAAAGCGUGGGGAGCAAACAGGAUUAGAUACCCUGGUAGUCCACGCCGUAAACGAUGGGUACUAGGUGUUGGAGGAUCGAUCUCUUGCAGUGCCGAAGCUAACGCAUUAAGUACCUCGCCUGGGGAGUACGAUCGCAGGAUUGAAACUCAAAGGAAUUG
RNAcentral lists this ribosomal RNA (923 nucleotides) under uncultured bacterium. RNAcentral describes it as "bacterial SSU rRNA". It matches the Rfam family "Bacterial small subunit ribosomal RNA", at positions 8 to 912 of the family's 1533-position model. The record is from RNAcentral.